This 210-nucleotide ribosomal RNA is filed under the name Glomeraceae sp. RNAcentral's name for it is "partial large subunit ribosomal RNA". Lineage: Eukaryota; Fungi; Glomeromycota; Glomeromycetes; Glomerales; Glomeraceae. The record is from RNAcentral.
AAACGAUUGAAGCCAGUCGUACUGACGGGAAAUCAACUUCUCGAGUGCUUGUCGUUGGUGACGUGGAGCUUCACGGCCUUCGUUGCUUGCGUUAUGGUGCUUUUGGGGUGUACUUUUUCGUAUAGUAGGUCAACAUCGAUUUUGAUCGUCAUAAAAUGAUCGGGGGAAUGUAGCUUUGAUCUUGUAUUGAAGUGUUAUAGCCUUUGGUAG